Molecule: ribosomal RNA, 450 nt
Filed under: uncultured bacterium
Lineage: Bacteria
Description: SSU rRNA
Rfam family: Bacterial small subunit ribosomal RNA
Source: RNAcentral
AGAACGAACGCUGGCGGCAGGCUUAACACAUGCAAGUCGAACGCUCGUAGCAAUACGGGAGUGGCAGACGGGUGAGUAACGCGUGGGAACAUACCCUCCGGUUCGGAAUAGCUCAGGGAAACUUGGAUUAAUACCGGAUACGGCCGAGAGGCGAAAGAUUUAUCGCCGGAGGAUUGGCCCGCGUUCGAUUAGCUAGUUGGUGAGGUAACGGCUCACCAAGGCGAUGAUCGAUAGCUGGUCUGAGAGGAUGAUCAGCCACAUUGGGACUGAGACACGGCCCAAACUCCUACGGGAGGCAGCAGUGGGAAUAUUGGACAAUGGGCGCAAGCCUGAUCCAGCCAUGCCGCGUGAGUGAUGACGGCCUUAGGGUUGUAAAGCCCUUUCGGGCGGGGAAGAUAAUGACGGUACCCGCAGAAGAACGGCCCCGGCUAACUUCGUGCCAGCAGCCGC